CUACGGGUGGCUGCAGUGAGGAAUAUUGCACAAUGGGGGGAACCCUGAUGCAGCAACGCCGCGUGGAGGAUGACGCAUUUCGGUGUGUAAACUCCUUUUAUAUGUCAAGAAAAUGACGGUAGCAUAUGAAUAAGCACCGGCUAACUCCGUGCCAGCAGCCGCGGUAAUACGGAGGGUGCAAGCGUUACUCGGAAUCACUGGGCGUAAAGGACGCGUAGGCGGGUUGGAAAGUCAGGUGUGAAAUCCUACAGCUUAACUGUAGAACUGCACUUGAAACUUCUAAUCUAGAGAAUGGGAGGGGGAGAUGGAAUUAGUGGUGUAGGGGUAAAAUCCGUAGAUAUCACUAGGAAUACCUAAAGCGAAGGCGAUCUCCUGGAACAUUACUGACGCUAAGGCGUGAAGGCGUGGGGAGCAAACAGGAUUAGAUACCCCCGUAGUC
This 439-nucleotide ribosomal RNA is filed under the name uncultured bacterium. Its description in RNAcentral is "partial 16S ribosomal RNA". It matches the Rfam family "Bacterial small subunit ribosomal RNA", at positions 339 to 795 of the family's 1533-position model. The record is from RNAcentral.